This 319-nucleotide ribosomal RNA is filed under the name uncultured eukaryote. RNAcentral describes it as "partial 18S ribosomal RNA". It matches the Rfam family "Eukaryotic small subunit ribosomal RNA", at positions 1470 to 1796 of the family's 1831-position model. The record is from RNAcentral.
CCCUUAGAUGUUCUGGGCAGCACGCGCGCUACAAUGGUCUUCGCAAACGGAUGCAUUCUCGAAGGAGAAUGCCAAUCUUGGAAUCUGUGCCUUGGUCGGGACAGUUGCUUGCAAUUUUUCGACUCGAACCGGGAAUUCCUUGUAAUCGUGAUUCAUCACAUCACGAUGAAUACGUCCCUGCCCUUUGUACACACCGCCCGUCGCUCCUACCGAUCGAAGAGUUAGGUGAAUUGUUUUGAUCGAUAAGAUUUGACUAUGGUCAACUCUCGUUGUGAAAUUCUGUGAAUCUGACUGUUUAGAGGAAGGAAAAGUCGUAACA